This 468-nucleotide ribosomal RNA is filed under the name uncultured bacterium. Its description in RNAcentral is "partial 16S ribosomal RNA". It matches the Rfam family "Bacterial small subunit ribosomal RNA", at positions 28 to 507 of the family's 1533-position model. The record is from RNAcentral.
GACGAACGCUGGCGGCGUGCUUAACACAUGCAAGUCGAACGGAAAGGCCCUGCUUUUGUGGGGUGCUCGAGUGGCGAACGGGUGAGUAACACGUGAGUAACCUGCCCUUGACUUUGGGAUAACUUCAGGAAACUGGGGCUAAUACCGGAUAGGAGCUCCUGCUGCAUGGUGGGGGUUGGAAAGUUUCGGCGGUUGGGGAUGGAUUCGCGGCUUAUCAGCUUGUUGGUUGGGUAGUGGCUUACCCAGGCUUUGACGGGUAGGCGGCCUGAGAGGGUGAACGGCCACAUUGGGACUGCGAUACGGCCCAGACUCCUACAGGAGGCAGCAGGGGGGAAUAUUGCACAAUGGGCGGAAGCCUGAGGCAGAGACGCCGCGUGCGGGAUGACGGCCUUCGGGUUGUAAACCGCUUUCGCCUGUGACGAAGCGGGAGUGACGGUAAUGGGUAAAGAAGCACCGGCUAACUACGUG